This 571-nucleotide ribosomal RNA is filed under the name Ennucula environmental sample. RNAcentral describes it as "SSU rRNA". It matches the Rfam family "Eukaryotic small subunit ribosomal RNA", at positions 590 to 1162 of the family's 1831-position model. Lineage: Eukaryota; Metazoa; Mollusca; Bivalvia; Nuculida; Nuculidae. The record is from RNAcentral.
UCCAAUAGCGUAUAUUAAAGUUGUUGCAGUUAAAAAGCUCGUAGUUGGAUCUCGGGUUUGGGCGGACGGUCCACCUCGCGGUGGCUUACUGUCCGACCCGACCCGCCGGCCGGUUCUUACCCCUGGUGCUCUUGACUGAGUGUCUCGGGUGUCCGGAACGUUUACUUUGAAAAAAUUAGAGUGUUCAAAGCAGGCGCGUCGCCUGAAUAGUGGUGCAUGGAAUAAUGCAAUAGGACAUCGGUUCUAUUUUGUUGGUUUUCGGAACUCGAUGUAAUGAUUAAGAGGGACGGACGGGGGCAUUCGUAUUGCGGCGUUAGAGGUGAAAUUCUUGGAUCGUCGCAAGACGAACUACAGCGAAAGCAUUUGCCAAGAAUGUUUUCAUUAAUCAAGAACGAAAGUCAGAGGUUCGAAGACGAUCAGAUACCGUCGUAGUUCUGACCAUAAACGAUGCCGACUAGCAAUUCGCCGGAGUUGCUUCAAUGACUCGGCAGGCAGCUUGCGGGAAACCAAAGUCUUUGGGUUCCGGGGGAAGUAUGGUUGCAAAGCUGAAACUUAAAGGAAUUGACGGAAG